Molecule: ribosomal RNA, 516 nt
Filed under: uncultured bacterium
Lineage: Bacteria
Description: bacterial SSU rRNA
Rfam family: Bacterial small subunit ribosomal RNA
Source: RNAcentral
UGCAAGUCGAACGCAAGGCUUCGGCCUUGAGUGGCGCACGGGUGAGUAGUGCGUGGGAACCUGCCCUGGAGUGGGGGAUAACCGAGGGAAACUUCGGCUAAUACCGCAUGCGCCCGGAGCAAUCCGGGGAAAGAUUUAUCGCUCUAGGAGGGGCCCGCGUCGGAUUAGCUAGUUGGUGGGGUAACGGCCUACCAAGGCGAUGAUCCGUAGCUGGUCUGAGAGGAUGAUCAGCCACACUGGGACUGAGACACGGCCCAGACUCCUACGGGAGGCAGCAGUGGGGAAUAUUGGACAAUGGGCGAAAGCCUGAUCCAGCAAUGCCGCGUGAGUGAGGAAGGCCUUAGGGUUGUAAAGCUCUUUCGGCGGGGACGAUGAUGACGGUACCCGCAGAAGAAGCCCCGGCUAACUUCGUGCCAGCAGCCGCGGUAAUACGAAGGGGGCGAGCGUUGUUCGGAUUUACUGGGCGUAAAGGGCGCGCAGGCGGUCGUGUUUGUCGAGUGUGAAAGCCCCGGGCUC